This 524-nucleotide ribosomal RNA is filed under the name Bacillus sp. (in: firmicutes). Its description in RNAcentral is "bacterial SSU rRNA". It matches the Rfam family "Bacterial small subunit ribosomal RNA", at positions 826 to 1351 of the family's 1533-position model. The record is from RNAcentral. Lineage: Bacteria; Bacillati; Bacillota; Bacilli; Caryophanales; Bacillaceae.
GGGGUUUCCGCCCCUUAGUGCUGCAGCUAACGCAUUAAGCACUCCGCCUGGGGAGUACGGUCGCAAGACUGAAACUCAAAGGAAUUGACGGGGGCCCGCACAAGCGGUGGAGCAUGUGGUUUAAUUCGAAGCAACGCGAAGAACCUUACCAGGUCUUGACAUCCUCUGACAACCCUAGAGAUAGGGCUUUCCCUUCGGGGACAGAGUGACAGGUGGUGCAUGGUUGUCGUCAGCUCGUGUCGUGAGAUGUUGGGUUAAGUCCCGCAACGAGCGCAACCCUUGAUCUUAGUUGCCAGCAUUCAGUUGGGCACUCUAAGGUGACUGCCGGUGACAAACCGGAGGAAGGUGGGGAUGACGUCAAAUCAUCAUGCCCCUUAUGACCUGGGCUACACACGUGCUACAAUGGACAGAACAAAGGGCUGCGAGACCGCAAGGUUUAGCCAAUCCCACAAAUCUGUUCUCAGUUCGGAUCGCAGUCUGCAACUCGACUGCGUGAAGCUGGAAUCGCUAGUAAUCGCGGAUCA